GGUUAAGCGACUAAGCGUACACGGUGGAUGCCCUGGCAGUCAGAGGCGAUGAAGGACGUGCUAAUCUGCGAUAAGCGUCGGUGAGGUGAUAUGAACCGUUAUAACCGGCGAUUUCCGAAUGGGGAAACCCAGUGUGUUUCGACACACUAUCAUUAACUGAAUCCAUAGGUUAAUGAGGCGAACCGGGGGAACUGAAACAUCUAAGUACCCCGAGGAAAAGAAAUCAACCGAGAUUCCCCCAGUAGCGGCGAGCGAACGGGGAGGAGCCCAGAGCCUGAAUCAGUGUGUGUGUUAGUGGAAGCGUCUGGAAAGGCGUGCGAUACAGGGUGACAGCCCCGUACACAAAAAUGCACAUAUUGUGAGCUCGAUGAGUAGGGCGGGACACGUGGUAUCCUGUCUGAAUAUGGGGGGACCAUCCUCCAAGGCUAAAUACUCCUGACUGACCGAUAGUGAACCAGUACCGUGAGGGAAAGGCGAAAAGAACCCCGGCGAGGGGAGUGAAAAAGAACCUGAAACCGUGUACGUACAAGCAGUGGGAGCCUCUUAAUGGGGUGACUGCGUACCUUUUGUAUAAUGGGUCAGCGACUUAUAUUCUGUAGCAAGGUUAACCGAAUAGGGGAGCCGAAGGGAAACCGAGUCUUAACUGGGCGUUAAGUUGCAGGGUAUAGACCCGAAACCCGGUGAUCUAGCCAUGGGCAGGUUGAAGGUUGGGUAACACUAACUGGAGGACCGAACCGACUAAUGUUGAAAAAUUAGCGGAUGACUUGUGGCUGGGGGUGAAAGGCCAAUCAAACCGGGAGAUAGCUGGUUCUCCCCGAAAGCUAUUUAGGUAGCGCCUCGUGAAUUCAUCUCCGGGGGUAGAGCACUGUUUCGGCAAGGGGGUCAUCCCGACUUACCAACCCGAUGCAAACUGCGAAUACCGGAGAAUGUUAUCACGGGAGACACACGGCGGGUGCUAACGUCCGUCGUGAAGAGGGAAACAACCCAGACCGCCAGCUAAGGUCCCAAAGUCAUGGUUAAGUGGGAAACGAUGUGGGAAGGCCCAGACAGCCAGGAUGUUGGCUUAGAAGCAGCCAUCAUUUAAAGAAAGCGUAAUAGCUCACUGGUCGAGUCGGCCUGCGCGGAAGAUGUAACGGGGCUAAACCAUGCACCGAAGCUGCGGCAGCGACACUAUGUGUUGUUGGGUAGGGGAGCGUUCUGUAAGCCUGUGAAGGUGGCCUGUGAGGGUUGCUGGAGGUAUCAGAAGUGCGAAUGCUGACAUAAGUAACGAUAAAGCGGGUGAAAAGCCCGCUCGCCGGAAGACCAAGGGUUCCUGUCCAACGUUAAUCGGGGCAGGGUGAGUCGACCCCUAAGGCGAGGCCGAAAGGCGUAGUCGAUGGGAAACAGGUUAAUAUUCCUGUACUUGGUGUUACUGCGAAGGGGGGACGGAGAAGGCUAUGUUGGCCGGGCGACGGUUGUCCCGGUUUAAGCGUGUAGGCUGGUUUUCCAGGCAAAUCCGGAAAACCAAGGCUGAGGUGUGAUGACGAGGCACUACGGUGCUGAAGCGACAAAUGCCCUGCUUCCAGGAAAAGCCUCUAAGCAUCAGGUAACAUCAAAUCGUACCCCAAACCGACACAGGUGGUCAGGUAGAGAAUACCAAGGCGCUUGAGAGAACUCGGGUGAAGGAACUAGGCAAAAUGGUGCCGUAACUUCGGGAGAAGGCACGCUGAUAUGUAGGUGAAGCGACUUGCUCGUGGAGCUGAAAUCAGUCGAAGAUACCAGCUGGCUGCAACUGUUUAUUAAAAACACAGCACUGUGCAAACACGAAAGUGGACGUAUACGGUGUGACGCCUGCCCGGUGCCGGAAGGUUAAUUGAUGGGGUUAGCGGCAACGCGAAGCUCUUGAUCGAAGCCCCGGUAAACGGCGGCCGUAACUAUAACGGUCCUAAGGUAGCGAAAUUCCUUGUCGGGUAAGUUCCGACCUGCACGAAUGGCGUAAUGAUGGCCAGGCUGUCUCCACCCGAGACUCAGUGAAAUUGAACUCGCUGUGAAGAUGCAGUGUACCCGCGGCAAGACGGAAAGACCCCGUGAACCUUUACUAUAGCUUGACACUGAACAUUGAGCCUUGAUGUGUAGGAUAGGUGGGAGGCUUUGAAGUGUGGACGCCAGUCUGCAUGGAGCCGACCUUGAAAUACCACCCUUUAAUGUUUGAUGUUCUAACGUUGGCCCGUAAUCCGGGUUGCGGACAGUGUCUGGUGGGUAGUUUGACUGGGGCGGUCUCCUCCUAAAGAGUAACGGAGGAGCACGAAGGUUGGCUAAUCCUGGUCGGACAUCAGGAGGUUAGUGCAAUGGCAUAAGCCAGCUUGACUGCGAGCGUGACGGCGCGAGCAGGUGCGAAAGCAGGUCAUAGUGAUCCGGUGGUUCUGAAUGGAAGGGCCAUCGCUCAACGGAUAAAAGGUACUCCGGGGAUAACAGGCUGAUACCGCCCAAGAGUUCAUAUCGACGGCGGUGUUUGGCACCUCGAUGUCGGCUCAUCACAUCCUGGGGCUGAAGUAGGUCCCAAGGGUAUGGCUGUUCGCCAUUUAAAGUGGUACGCGAGCUGGGUUUAGAACGUCGUGAGACAGUUCGGUCCCUAUCUGCCGUGGGCGCUGGAGAACUGAGGGGGGCUGCUCCUAGUACGAGAGGACCGGAGUGGACGCAUCACUGGUGUUCGGGUUGUCAUGCCAAUGGCACUGCCCGGUAGCUAAAUGCGGAAGAGAUAAGUGCUGAAAGCAUCUAAGCACGAAACUUGCCCCGAGAUGAGUUCUCCCUGACUCCUUGAGAGUCCUGAAGGAACGUUGAAGACGACGACGUUGAUAGGCCGGGUGUGUAAGCGCAGCGAUGCGUUGAGCUAACCGGUACUAAUGAACCGUGAGGCUUAACCUU
Molecule: ribosomal RNA, 2904 nt
Filed under: Escherichia coli
Lineage: Bacteria; Pseudomonadati; Pseudomonadota; Gammaproteobacteria; Enterobacterales; Enterobacteriaceae
Description: 23S ribosomal RNA
Rfam family: Bacterial large subunit ribosomal RNA
Source: RNAcentral